RNAcentral lists this ribosomal RNA (391 nucleotides) under uncultured bacterium. Its description in RNAcentral is "bacterial SSU rRNA". It matches the Rfam family "Bacterial small subunit ribosomal RNA", at positions 28 to 416 of the family's 1533-position model. The record is from RNAcentral.
GACGAACGCUGGCGGCGUGCUUAACACAUGCAAGUCGAGCGGUAAGGCCCUUUCGGGGGUACGACGAGCGGCGAACGGGUGAGUAACACGUGGGUGACCUGCCCUCAGCUCUGGGAUAAGCCUGGGAAACUGGGUCUAAUACUGGAUAUGACUCCACGGUGCAUGUCGGUGGGGUGGAAAGCCUUGUGCGGCUGAGGAUGGGCCCCGCGGCCUAUCAGCUUGGUUGGUGGGGUGANGGCCUACCAAGGCGACGACGGGUAGCCGGCCUGAGAGGGCGACCGGCCACACUGGGACUGAGACACGGCCCAGACUCCUACGGGAGGCAGCAGUGGGGAAUCUCGCGCAAUGGGCGAAAGCCUGACGCAGCGACGCCGCGUGAGGGAUGACGGCC